RNAcentral lists this ribosomal RNA (764 nucleotides) under Escherichia coli. RNAcentral describes it as "partial 23S ribosomal RNA". It matches the Rfam family "Bacterial large subunit ribosomal RNA", at positions 1 to 808 of the family's 2925-position model. The record is from RNAcentral. Lineage: Bacteria; Pseudomonadati; Pseudomonadota; Gammaproteobacteria; Enterobacterales; Enterobacteriaceae.
GUUAAGCGACUAAGCGUACACGGUGGAUGCCCUGGCAGUCAGAGGCGAUGAAGGACGUGCUAAUCUGCGAUAAGCGUCGGUAAGGUGAUAUGAACCGUUAUAACCGGCGAUUUCCGAAUGGGGAAACCCAGUGUGUUUCGACACACUAUCAUUAACUGAAUCCAUAGGUUAAUGAGGCGAACCGGGGGAACUGAAACAUCUAAGUACCCCGAGGAAAAGAAAUCAACCGAGAUUCCCCCAGUAGCGGCGAGCGAACGGGGAGCAGCCCAGAGCCUGAAUCAGUGUGUGUGUUAGUGGAAGCGUCUGGAAAGGCGCGCGAUACAGGGUGACAGCCCCGUACACAAAAAUGCACAUGCUGUGAGCUCGAUGAGUAGGGCGGGACACGUGGUAUCCUGUCUGAAUAUGGGGGGACCAUCCUCCAAGGCUAAAUACUCCUGACUGACCGAUAGUGAACCAGUACCGUGAGGGAAAGGCGAAAAGAACCCCGGCGAGGGGAGUGAAAAAGAACCUGAAACCGUGUACGUACAAGCAGUGGGAGCACGCUUAGGCGUGUGACUGCGUACCUUUUGUAUAAUGGGUCAGCGACUUAUAUUCUGUAGCAAGGUUAACCGAAUAGGGGAGCCGAAGGGAAACCGAGUCUUAACUGGGCGUUAAGUUGCAGGGUAUAGACCCGAAACCCGGUGAUCUAGCCAUGGGCAGGUUGAAGGUUGGGUAACACUAACUGGAGGACCGAACCGACUAAUGUUGAAAAAUUAGCGGAUGAC